Molecule: ribosomal RNA, 1476 nt
Filed under: uncultured Bordetella sp.
Lineage: Bacteria; Pseudomonadati; Pseudomonadota; Betaproteobacteria; Burkholderiales; Alcaligenaceae
Description: partial 16S-23S ribosomal RNA intergenic spacer
Rfam family: Bacterial small subunit ribosomal RNA
Source: RNAcentral
UUCGAUCAUGGCUCAGAUUAGACGCUGGCAGGAUGCUUUACACAUGCAAGUCGAACGGCAGCACGGACUUCGAUCUGGUGGCGAGUGGCGAACGGGUGAGUAAUGUAUCGGAACGUGCCUAGUAGCGGGGAUAACUACGCGAAAGCGUAGCUAAUACCGCAUACGCCCUUCGGGGAAAGCGGGGGGGACCUUCGGGCCUCGCACUAAUGCGGCGGCUGAUAUCGGAUUGAUUUGGUGGGGUAACGGCUCACCAAGGCGACGAUCCGUAGCUGGUUUGAGAGGACGACCAGCCACGCUGGGACUGGAGACACGGCAGCCCGAAUACACGGAGGCAGCGGUGGGGAAUUUUUGGACAAUGGAAACCUGAUCAGCCAUCCCGCGUGUGCGAUGAGCCUUCGGGUUGUAAAGCACUUUUGGCAGGAAAGAAACGGCACGGGAUAAUACCCCGUGCAACUGACGUACCUGCAGAAUGGCACCGGCCCAACUGCAUUGCCACAGCAGCCGCGGUAGCGUAGGGUGCAAGCGUUAAUCAGAUUACUGGGCGUAAAGCGUGCGCGAGCGGUUCGGAAGAAGAUGUGAAAUCCCAGAGCUUAACUUUGGAACUGCAUUUUACAACUACCAAGAGCUAGAAGGUGUGUCAGGGAGGGUAAGAUUCCGCGUGUAGCAGUGAAAUGCGUAGAUAUGCGGAGGAACACCGAUGGCGAAGGCGGCAUCCUGGGAUAACACUGACGCUCAUGCACAGCAGCGUGGGGAGCAAACAGGAUUAGGCCACCCUGGUAGUCCACCCUAAACGAUGUCAACCCCUUCUUCGGGGCCUUCAGGUGUGGCGCAGCUAACGCUGAAGUUGACCGCCUGGGAAGUACGGUCGCAAGAUUAAAAACAGAAUUUGGCAGGGGACCCGCACAAGCGGUGGAUGAUGUGGAUUCGAUGCAACGCGAAAACCUUACCUGCGCCGGUAUGUCUGGAAUCCCGAAGAGACCAUUUGGGAGUGCUCGCAAAGAACCGGAACACAGGUGCUGCAUGGCUGUCGUCAGCUCGUGUCACGUGAGAUGUUAGGUUAAGUCCGCAACGAGCGCAACCCUUGUCAUUAGUUGCUACGAAGGGCACUCUAAUGAGACUGCCGGUGAUAAACCGGAGGAAGGUGAGGAUGACGUCAAGUCCUCGCGGCCCUUAUGGUGGAGCUACGUCUUUGUCGGUCCGCUGCCGGGACAGGGUCGCCAACCCGCAGUUGUUAGAAACCCGAUCGUAGUCCGGAUCUGCGUCUGCAACUCGACUGCGUGAAGUCGGGAAUCUGUUAAUAAUCGCGGAUCAGCAUGUCGCGGUGAAUACGUUCAGGUCUUGUACACACCGCCCGUCUGUGGUGGGUUUACCAAGUAGUUAGCCUAACCGUAAGGAGGGCGAUUACCACAGUAGGAUUCAUGUGAAGCUGGGGUGAAGUCGUAACAAGGUAGCUCUGUUACUACCUGAUGCUCUGAC